AACGAACGCUGGCGGCAUGCCUAACACAUGCAAGUCGAACGAGACCUUCGGGUCUAGUGGCGCACGGGUGCGUAACGCGUGGGAACCUGCCCUUAGGUUCGGAAUAACUCCCUGAAAGGGGUGCUAAUACCGGAUAAUGUCUUCGGACCAAAGAUUUAUCGCCUUUGGAUGGGCCCGCGUUGGAUUAGCUAGUUGGUAGGGUAAAAGCCUACCAAGGCGACGAUCCAUAGCUGGUCUGAGAGGAUGAUCAGCCACACUGGGACUGAGACACGGCCCAGACUCCUACGGGGGGCAGCAGUGGGGAAUAUUGGACAAUGGGCGAAAGCCUGAUCCAGCAAUGCCGCGUGAGUGAUGAAGGCCUUAGGGUUGUAAAGCUCUUUUACCCGGGAUGAUAAUGACAGUACCGGGAGAAUAAGCUCCGGCUAACUCCGUG
Molecule: ribosomal RNA, 433 nt
Filed under: uncultured bacterium
Lineage: Bacteria
Description: partial 16S ribosomal RNA
Rfam family: Bacterial small subunit ribosomal RNA
Source: RNAcentral